CGGAUUCGGUAAUAUCGCCGUCUGAUUCACCGUCUGCUUUCCGGAUACGGUUUUCUCCUGGCACUCUUUCUCCGGUUAUGGACUUCACCCCGUCUUCUUCCGCUGCGGCGUUUAACGGUCAUUCUGGAUCCAGUCAUGACUCUUUCCCUUCUGGGUUCUCGAAGUUCAACUCUGCUCUCACCGCCGGGCUUUUGAACCCAAUGUCGCCGCCGCCGUCUACUGAUAAAACCCGAUCGAGUCCGACCCUUUUCG
Molecule: unclassified non-coding RNA, 252 nt
Filed under: Hevea brasiliensis (rubber tree)
Lineage: Eukaryota; Viridiplantae; Streptophyta; Magnoliopsida; Malpighiales; Euphorbiaceae
Source: RNAcentral